UUGGCUCACAGCGGCCCCAGCAACAUCUAGCUGAUUGGCUCCUCUGCGGUGAUGCUCAUUGGGCUGUUUCCCUGCCCUUUCAGACCACGGAGCUGCUCAUUGGGGGACUUUUUUGGCUCCGCCCAUGUGACCCAGCCAAUCGGCCUCAAGAGCAGGAGGAUUGUGGGAGGGGGAGAGAAGCUUGUGUGGGAGAGAGAGGCUUGUGGAAAGUCAGUGGUGGCAGUUGAGGCUCUGAGGGUUUUUCCUGAGAGGCUGUUUUGUUUGGCGUGUGUGGUUCUAAAAAUAAAGUUAGUUUCUUUUGACAAGUGGCUCCUGAUUGUACCCAGCCAGACUGCGGCAUCUCUCUCUCUCCCUCUCUCUUUAAAAAAAAAAUAAAAUAAAUGGAAAAGCUCAAAGCAGAGCAAAAUUAGAGUGAGUCAAAGUAUAAGAAUAAAAUUUAUAACAUAAAGCCUUCAGCCAGGGCAUCACUGGGCCAUUUUAACUAUUGUGUACAAAGUGGCUUUAUUUUUUAGUUUAUUUCAAUCAUCCUGCACCAAACAGUGUUAUGAGUACAUGCUCAGGUUGUUUAGCAAGGAGUUCAUUUUUCUGGUGACACAUGAUCACAGAUCUAGUGAGCAUUACUGCCAUGAUGCAAAUAUAGAAAUACAGAGAAAGAUAGAAUUUAGCUCAGCUUGGCUUGGCUGGAAUCUGGUGCUCUGCCUUUAUCUGGACAAAUGGAUAUGGGCUGAGAAGGUUCUGGCAGCCUGGCUGAGAUGGCCAAGAAAGACUGAUGCACAUGGACCACUUUUAAUUUCCUUCCACAGGCUUUGAGAGCGGUGUGUGAAAGACAGAUAUAUUGCUGGAGAUAAUAUUUUAAUUCAAAAUUUCAGCCCUCUGGGUUGGUGGCUUUCUGCAAAGGGACCUUUCUUAAGAUCCUCAGAGUUUGAAUUGACUAGCUCCUGAGAUUCGUGAACUGGGCCAGUCAAUCCCGAGGUGGACAGAGAAGAUUCGGACUGUUUCUAAUGGAUCUGUCUGGGUUCCUUAUAGGUUGGCUUAUGGCAGGAGGGUCAGCCUCUAAUCCAGCCUGGUUUGCUCAAGUUUGUACUGUGAGUUUGGAGACU
RNAcentral lists this long non-coding RNA (1100 nucleotides) under Marmota monax (woodchuck). Lineage: Eukaryota; Metazoa; Chordata; Mammalia; Rodentia; Sciuridae. The record is from RNAcentral.